RNAcentral lists this long non-coding RNA (385 nucleotides) under Canis lupus familiaris (dog). Its description in RNAcentral is "lncRNA (ENSCAFG00845007917.1)". Lineage: Eukaryota; Metazoa; Chordata; Mammalia; Carnivora; Canidae. The record is from RNAcentral.
UGGGUGAUGGGUGAUGGGUGGCCUCGCGUUGCAGAGUCCCCGCGUCUCGGUCCUACAGGCCAGAAGUCUGUAACCAGUUUCACUGGGCUAAAGUCGAGAAUCCAAGAUCAUCUCUCCAACUCAAAAUCCUUAAUUCAAUCUCAUCUGCUGUCUUUGUCAUAUAAGGAUGUGGGAGAGGGCAGCUGGGCUGAGCUUGGCUGAACUGAGCAAGUGCGGAACUGCUCAAGCCCUGAGUUCUCCCAGACUCUGCAGCUUGAGUACCACUUUGAAACAGUCCAGAAGCUCCUAUUUGGCAUCUAUGACAUAGACAACAAGACACCUGAGCUGGGGGAUGAUGACUUCCUAGGAGGGGCUGAGUGUUCCCUAGGACAGAUUGUGUCCAGCC